Molecule: ribosomal RNA, 312 nt
Filed under: Triticum aestivum (bread wheat)
Lineage: Eukaryota; Viridiplantae; Streptophyta; Magnoliopsida; Poales; Poaceae
Description: partial small subunit ribosomal RNA
Source: RNAcentral
AUGGACUUGCUGCCGUCACGAUGCCACGACGCUCUGCCUGGGGUCGCCGCCGCGCCGCUUGGGGUCGCCGGCGCACCGCCAUGGCGCGGCCUGGGGUCGCCGCCAUGGCGCUCCGCUUGGGGUCGCCGCCUUCUGCCAUGGCGCUCCGCCUGCGGUCGCCGCCACGCCACCAUUUGGCGACGCCUGGAGUCGUCGCCGCUGCGCCACCAUGGGGCGACGCCUGGAGUCGUCGCCGCCUGCCCUGGAGCCGCCGCCAUCUCCGGCAAACCUCUUCCCCUCCGUACGCAUCUUCGGGAGUCGCCUGUGGGAUAG